CUGCCUGCCUGCCUGCCUGCCUGCCUGUCUGUCUUUCUUUCUUUCUUUCUUUCUUUCUUUCUUUCUUUCUUUCUUUCUUUCUUUCUUUCUUUCAUAUGAAAUUCCAUCGUUUAACCUGCUUUAUGUUAAUGUUCUUAAUCUUAAUCCAUCUGAUAUAAUCUCAAGGACAGGACUGAGCUGUUAGGAUGCUACAAUGCCACUGAAACAAUUGGGGUUCCUUGUGAUUUAAGUGGUUUUUUAGUGUUCAGGGUUACAGUUUUAUGAAAGCAGGACAGUGAUAAAUGCCUCAGAGUUGGUGGGGUUGGAUACAUGUUGCAGAAAGGGGCAAUGAUUCCUGACUGUGGCAGAGAUCUCAGUUUUGACAAUGGCAAUGAUUUCUAACAGGAUUUUCAAGAAACCCAAGGCGGCUUACAUAUGGUUCUCAGGCAGUUUCCCAUCCAGGCACUGACCAGACCUGACCCUGCUUAGCUUCAGCAGUGAGCUGGCCUUAUGUGCCUUCAGACUAUAGCCUGGAGAUUUCUGUGACCUUGGCUGACUGGCUGCCAGGAUUUUUUAAGUAUCCACAAAUAUUGGAUGGCUAUUAUCUGUCACAAGAAGAGGACUCAGGGGAAGGGUCAAGUUCUCCAUUUGUACCAUGUUGAGAGAAAAAAUGGAAAAUGGACUGCCUUCAAGUCGAUCCCGACUUAUGGCUACCCUAUGAAUAGGGUUUUCAUGCUACAUCUUUCAAGCUGAGGAUUAUGAUGAAAUCCUAUACAUGUCUACUCAGGAGUAAGUCCCAUUGAGCUACCCCCCCACAAAUAUGCUUCCUGGGUGUCCCCAAGGCAGUAGUUGGAAAGUGAUUUUCAUAUGGGCCCCUCUACCUCUGAGCUCUCAGUUCUCAGCCUAAGAAAGGUGAUGAUCAAAAAAAAACUUACUUAACAAACAACAGUGAACAGCUGUUAAGGGUGCAGUGGGCAGCCUUCCCCACCUUCUUGUGCUCAUAGCAAAUCCCAGUUGAGCUUUUAGGAAAUGUGGGCACCCAAGAAGGCUGAAAAGUUCCAAUCACCACCAAAGAGAUGAUUUGCAGAAUGAAAGGACCCUCACACAACAUGCCUCAAGUCACCUUGAAGGACAUUCUUCUACUGAGGAAGUGGAACCCACAUUUUCUUCCAUAUUACCCUCCUCGCAAUGCAGGCACAAUACUUUUUCUUAAGAAGCAGUGGACUCUCUGCUGUAUUAACAACAUUUCUAUCUGAUAUGCUUUGAGGGGACUCUAGCUCAGAUAAUGCGUGCACAGUGACAUCAAGAAACAAGAUACUUUCACUCUAGUUAUAAAACAUACGAUCUAAUGGAAACAGUCAGGCUCGUGCUAUUCAGCCUGCAUUGAGGAGCUGAAGCUAAAUCAGAACCAGAUGAACCUGGUCAAAACUCAACAGAAUUACAGUCAUAAUCUUUACUCGCAACUUCUUGCAUGUGUUAACUAAAUACAGCAUUCAUAUCACCAGAGAAAGCUGAGUAUACAGGCCUAUCCUUAGUCAUUACACUGAAGACCAUCAAAGGCUCUAGGUCCCAGACUGUGCAAUGCAUAGACUGGGCAGUGCAGAAUAGUAUGGUACCUUUUGAGCCAUCCUUCAAAAUUUGCACUUAUUUGAAUUUUGCAGUGCAGUUCGUCAACCAGUGUUUACAAAAAUGCAUAUGUUGGGGGAAAGUUUGCAUAAAAAUGAAUAUGUGAAUGAAAAUAACAUACAAAAUACAAUAUAUAAAGAGAAAUUGCUUGCAAAAUAUGUACAUUAGUCAAAACUGCCUACAAAAUGUGUUUAUUAGGAGAAAUUCACAUUAAAAUGCUGAAGGUUUUUUUUUUUUUUUUUAAAUGCAAUUUGCCACAGAAAUGUGGAGGUGAGACAGGUGCUCUGAGGUCAGAGCACCUGUCAGGUGCAGUGGCAGUUCACACUUGGAGCUGGAGAAAAAAGCAGGAUUUUUUCUGCUGACCUUGUGAUAGAUUUCAAGAUGAAUAGAUUGUGGGUGCUUCCAUGCGUAGAUGAUUUAGUGGCACCCAAACACUGCUAUUCUGUGUUAAGCUGAAGUGAAAUGGCAAACUACCAGACUUGUGGUAAAUUAACAUUUCUCCAACCCAAUUACCCAGCAACUGCCCAAUAGUGGGUUAAUGCCAGGCCUGUUCUCUGUAUGUGUGCAUGCAUGCAUGCAUGCAUAUAUAUAUAUAUAUAGAGAGAGAGAGAGGCUUGUGCAGCUGUCAUUCAUUUCAGUGGAGUUUAGAUGGAGGAAGUUGAUGUAGAUACUGGGUUUUAACACUUUCUUAUAAAUGUGGAAUAAAUAUUGGGCCAAGAAGUGGGGCACAAAUUUAAAAAUAAUGCAAACCAUUAAAACAUAUGGUAUACCUUUUUUGCAUAUUAAACAGUCUCUCAUUCAGGUGCCUACAAAAGGCUGCAGAAUAUUUAUGCAUAAGAACUGAAACCACAACAGCCUUGUAUUUGAACAUGGGAACAAAUCUUUUGCUACAUUAAAAUCUGAAAAUAAAACAUCCCAACAAUUUAUGAGUAGAAAAAUAGAUAACAAGAUCCAAGAAAAUCAGGGUGGAGAGAAUGCAGAGACUAGAGAAAGAAACUUAAAAACAAAUUCCAGAUGUUUAUACUAUAGAACAUUUCAGCAUUAUUUUUAACAAUCUGAUUAUUAUAAUGAAUAUUAAAAAGAAAACAAUGAAUGUUUAUGGCUACCACGAACACUGCAUUGGACUGAAGUUAAAGGGAAUGCAACAAUAUUGUUUGUUGUAUUGUUAUAUUUGAUUCAUUUUUUAAAUCCAGUGUUGGAAAAAGCCACGGAAGCUCGCAGAAUUUAGGAUUGGUCUGCAAAGAUAUCAAAAAAUCGGGAAAUCUGUUGCCAAGUUCAAUUUUAGCAAAAUUCUUGCCCAUCCCUAGUCCUCCCCACCCCACCACAAUUUGUUAUUCAGUUUUUUUAGCUUUUCCAUUUGUGUUGCAAACAGUUAAACAGUUGCAAACUGUUGUAAGCAGUUACUAAUGUUAUAUAUUUAUAAAUGUGGCAUACUAAUGAAACUUACCUUUUUACUUGUCUAAUGUCAGAUGCAUAUAUGACCGGCUGUAGCCCCGCUUCAUGCAUGAAUCAUGUGAUUGAAUCAACUGACAUGAUUAUUGAGGACCCAGGCAUUAGUAUGGACUUCUGCACUGAAAAAUACUAUGCAUUGGCUUCCGUGCAUCUGAGAUGCGUGAUCACACAGCUGCUUGUGAAUCAGCUUCCAUGUGACCGGGACUCCUGAUCACACAGUUGCUCACACAUAGGCUUUACAGUGCAGAGAUCCAGCUAAUGCAUGGGAUGUCUGGAGGUAGGGCCAGCGGUAGCAUGAUAUUGGGAGUCGUGCCAGCCGCAUGACUCAUUGGUGUAAUUCUCCUUGCACAGGGGCUUGUUUAAUGGUUCCUGGUUGCCAACUUCUUUUAACUUGCCCUGUUUCUGUAACACAGGCAUGGGAAUUCUAUGACCCUCCAGACGUUGCUGGACUACAAUUCCCAUCUUCCCUUACCAUUGGCCAUGCUAUCUGGGGCUGAUGGGAGCUGGAGUCAAAUAACAUCCUGAAGGCCACAGUUUCCCCACACCUUCUUGAACAGCUCCCUACCAUGCUGAAAUGUAGCUGGUGAAAUUUGUCCUGGAGAGAGUUAAUGUAAUGGGGAAAAACUUUGCCUGCUCUGUUUUGACAUUGGAGUAAGGCCAGUAAAAAAAAAAAGGGGGGGGAGUUAAUAAUCCUAGGACUCAAGAUUGCAGCAUCACCACCAAGGUGUAUUGUCCCUCCAAAACUCACAUUCCAAGGCUGAAGGACUGCACAACAUACAGCUAAUCACAUUUGGCGGCCUUUACUGGGUCAGGGCCUAUGUGAUUUAUGCAGUGAAUUUGUGAACUGAAUCCACUGUGAACCUGAAGUCUAGUUCCAGGAAAUAUGUGGCCAUGUGCUUAUGUUUAUCUAUGAAUUUGUGUCCGUAAUUAUAAUAUUUAAAUGAAAGUACAUACAGUGUAAUUAAACAUCAGGCAAAAUCAGCUCCUAUAAAAACAAUGUUUUCAAUUAACUGUGAAUUUAUUAUUUCACAUAAGAGCCUUGUGACUCAAAUGGUCAACACCCUGAAGACUCAAAAUGCUUCCAAACCCAGCAUUUGAAGCCUUGAAUAUUUCUGGCAUUCUCUGGAUAUCCUUCCAUAUGUGUCAACUCAUGAAAUGCUUUCGGACGGCGGGGAACUCUUACAUGUCUCUUGAGGUACAGUUCGUUCUUAAGAAGAAUUGUUUUUCACUUUGAUGGAAAUUAAGAAGCUUUGUUUAUUUGUUGAUCUCUUUGA
Molecule: long non-coding RNA, 4331 nt
Organism: Rhineura floridana
Lineage: Eukaryota; Metazoa; Chordata; Lepidosauria; Squamata; Rhineuridae
Exons: 6
Source: RefSeq, a predicted model, not a curated record